This 18-nucleotide microRNA is filed under the name Ornithorhynchus anatinus (platypus). RNAcentral describes it as "oan-miR-1394". Lineage: Eukaryota; Metazoa; Chordata; Mammalia; Monotremata; Ornithorhynchidae. The record is from miRBase by way of RNAcentral.
CCCGGGGCGCCCGAGGGG